RNAcentral lists this unclassified non-coding RNA (207 nucleotides) under Hevea brasiliensis (rubber tree). Lineage: Eukaryota; Viridiplantae; Streptophyta; Magnoliopsida; Malpighiales; Euphorbiaceae. The record is from RNAcentral.
AGGGGAUUGAUUUUCACAAGGAAGCCUACUUUAUGACCCCUGCCUAUUUGAAGAUGAUGUGGAGAAGGAUUGACUUCUUGCGUUCUGUUCUUGAGAUGGGUUAUAAUUUUGUUUUCACGGAUGCUGAUAUCAUGUGGUUCAGGGACCCAUUUCCGCGGUUUUAUUCAGAUGCAGAUUUCCAGAUUGCAUGUGAUCAUUUUACAGGCA